GGGGUUGUGGCUCAGUGGUAGAGUGCUCACCUAGCACAUGAGAGGCCCUGGGUUCGAUUCUCAGUACCA
This 69-nucleotide transfer RNA is filed under the name Ictidomys tridecemlineatus (thirteen-lined ground squirrel). RNAcentral's name for it is "Spermophilus tridecemlineatus (thirteen-lined ground squirrel) tRNA". It matches the Rfam family "tRNA". From Rfam's summary of the family: Transfer RNA (tRNA) molecules are approximately 80 nucleotides in length. Their secondary structure includes four short double-helical elements and three loops (D, anti-codon, and T loops). Further hydrogen bonds mediate the characteristic L-shaped molecular structure. tRNAs have two regions of fundamental functional importance: the anti-codon, which is responsible for specific mRNA codon recognition, and the 3' end, to which the tRNAs corresponding amino acid is attached (by aminoacyl-tRNA synthetases). tRNAs cope with the degeneracy of the genetic code in two manners: having more than one tRNA (with a specific anti-codon) for a particular amino acid; and 'wobble' base-pairing, i.e. permitting non-standard base-pairing at the 3rd anti-codon position. Lineage: Eukaryota; Metazoa; Chordata; Mammalia; Rodentia; Sciuridae. The record is from Rfam by way of RNAcentral.